This 456-nucleotide ribosomal RNA is filed under the name uncultured Acetobacteraceae bacterium. Its description in RNAcentral is "bacterial SSU rRNA". It matches the Rfam family "Bacterial small subunit ribosomal RNA", at positions 91 to 578 of the family's 1533-position model. The record is from RNAcentral. Lineage: Bacteria; Pseudomonadati; Pseudomonadota; Alphaproteobacteria; Acetobacterales; Acetobacteraceae.
CCUAGUGGCGGACGGGUGAGUAACGCGUAGGUAUCUAUCCAAGGGUGGGGGAUAACGGCGGGAAACUGCUGCUAAUACCGCAUGACGACUGAGGUCCAAAGGCCGCAAGGUCGCCUAUGGAGGAGCCUGCGUUCGAUUAGCUUGUUGGUGGGGUAACGGCCUACCAAGGCGACGAUCGAUGGCUGGUCUGAGAGGAUGAUCAGCCACACUGGGACUGAGACACGGCCCAGACUCCUACGGGAGGCAGCAGUGGGGAAUAUUGGACAAUGGGGGCAACCCUGAUCCAGCAAUGCCGCGUGGAUGAAGAAGGUCUUCGGAUUGUAAAGUCCUUUCGACGGGGACGAUGAUGACGGUACCCGUAGAAGAAGCCCCGGCUAACUUCGUGCCAGCAGCCGCGGUAAUACGAAGGGGGCUAGCGUUGCUCGGAAUGACUGGGCGUAAAGGGCGCGUAGGCGG